Long non-coding RNA from Passer domesticus (house sparrow), 268 nucleotides. RefSeq lists it as uncharacterized. The transcript has 2 exons. NCBI's taxonomy places the organism in Eukaryota, Metazoa, Chordata, Aves, Passeriformes, Passeridae. The record is from RefSeq and is a predicted model, not a curated record.
ACAGUUUCUCAUCAUGCGCUGGCACCUCCACUACCUUCUAAAUAAUCCUGGGGCUUCCCAAAACAUCUGUGGCUGUUGGUUUUGGUGCACAGUUCUGCAUCUGAACAGAUGGUGCUGUUGAAUGCAUAGCCAAGUUUUUUUAGCACCUGUGAGAAUGGGCAAAAACGUACUGUCCCAAGAUAUCCAUAACUGCCACACAAAAAUCAGUAUAUUAAAUGAAAUGGAUACAGAUACAGCUUUGUUUUUAAAUAAAGAAUUCAUUCCAUGA